GUAGAGCAGCCGGAACGGGAGCGAAUAGCUCUGUGGGUAGGUUCGCGUGUU
Molecule: small RNA, 51 nt
Filed under: Sinorhizobium meliloti 2011
Lineage: Bacteria; Pseudomonadati; Pseudomonadota; Alphaproteobacteria; Hyphomicrobiales; Rhizobiaceae
Description: putative ncRNA
Source: RNAcentral